This 253-nucleotide ribosomal RNA is filed under the name uncultured bacterium. RNAcentral describes it as "partial 16S ribosomal RNA". It matches the Rfam family "Bacterial small subunit ribosomal RNA", at positions 524 to 776 of the family's 1533-position model. The record is from RNAcentral.
UACAGAGGUCUCAAGCGUUGUUCGGAUUCAUUGGGCGUAAAGGGUGCGUAGGCGGCGCGGUAAGUCGGGUGUGAAAUUUCGGAGCUUAACUCCGAAACUGCAUUCGAUACUGCGGUGCUUGAGGACUGGAGAGGAGACUGGAAUUUACGGUGUAGCAGUGAAAUGCGUAGAGAUCGUAAGGAAGACCAGUGGCGAAGGCGGGUCUCUGGACAGUUCCUGACGCUGAGGCACGAAGGCCAGGGGAGCAAACGGG